UAAGUUAUGUGUAAUGUAGUUUCUUUAGGAUGUAGAUUUCAUUAUCUUUACAGUUGUACUAGACUCAGAUGUAGGAAAUUUAAAAAUAAAUUAUGGAAUCCAUUGUUUAUUACUGUUGUGUGAUGCUGUCAGUACAUCAAACUGGUUCUCAGUAAGGCAUAAGCUUUCCUUUGUAAAAUACAUACACACAUUGUAAUUUUAUAACAGACUGGAUAUCAAAGACUGCUGCUUCAGAUAACACGACUGUGAAGUGAACUUGCGUAUAAUGAAUCAUACAGACUUGAUGGAAGAAAUGUGUGCAGAAGAAGCUUGUUGCAUGUUUUAUACAGAUGAUUAUGGUUUUGAUGGAGAGUGCUGUAAGUGGCCACAAGAUGAUACGCAUUAGAGAAAGACUUGCUGAUAAAUUAGAAAUGAUCUCAUUUGAUCCAUACAUUCAACAACCUUCAGUUUACAGGGAACUGAAAAAGGUUC
Zootermopsis nevadensis is the source of this 471-nucleotide non-coding RNA. The record is from RefSeq and is a predicted model, not a curated record. Lineage: Eukaryota; Metazoa; Arthropoda; Insecta; Blattodea; Termopsidae.